AAGAAAAUUGAUCUCCGAGCCCGGUUACCUAAAGCAGUCGCCAUGGUGCCAGGGCCGAUAGGGUGUGCGGGGAAACCGACACACCUCCCGUGCGGAAAGGAGAUGGCUUACAAUGAC
Molecule: non-coding RNA, 117 nt
Filed under: Desulfotomaculum sp.
Lineage: Bacteria; Bacillati; Bacillota; Clostridia; Eubacteriales; Desulfotomaculaceae
Also listed under: 1 other name
Description: MoCo sequence
Rfam family: Molybdenum/Tungsten riboswitch aptamer (Moco RNA motif)
Source: RNAcentral